RNAcentral lists this transfer RNA (76 nucleotides) under Armatimonadota bacterium. RNAcentral's name for it is "Armatimonadetes bacterium tRNA-Ala". It matches the Rfam family "tRNA". Rfam says of the family: Transfer RNA (tRNA) molecules are approximately 80 nucleotides in length. Their secondary structure includes four short double-helical elements and three loops (D, anti-codon, and T loops). Lineage: Bacteria; Bacillati; Armatimonadota. The record is from RNAcentral.
GGGGCUGUAGCUCAGUUGGGAGAGCGCGACAAUCGCAAUGUUGAGGCCGGGGGUUCGAGUCCCCCCAGCUCCACCA